AUGAAAUUUUAGAGAGAUGGCCUACAUGGCAGCCGAAGGAACAAAUAUAUCAUCAUGCCGAGAUGAUGUAUGAAAUUCUCAGGCAAAAGUAUCUAAAGUGGACA
Molecule: non-coding RNA, 104 nt
Filed under: Hathewaya proteolytica
Lineage: Bacteria; Bacillati; Bacillota; Clostridia; Eubacteriales; Clostridiaceae
Also listed under: 1 other name
Description: Clostridium proteolyticum Glycine sequence
Rfam family: Glycine riboswitch aptamer
About the family: This family represents the bacterial glycine riboswitch. Glycine riboswitches usually consist of two metabolite-binding aptamers domains with similar structures in tandem.
Source: RNAcentral